RNAcentral lists this unclassified non-coding RNA (221 nucleotides) under Nadsonia starkeyi-henricii. RNAcentral's name for it is "partial contains small subunit ribosomal RNA, internal transcribed spacer 1, and 5.8S ribosomal RNA". The record is from RNAcentral. Lineage: Eukaryota; Fungi; Ascomycota; Dipodascomycetes; Dipodascales. RNAcentral also lists the same sequence under 1 other name.
UUUCCGUAGGUGAACCUGCGGAAGGAUCAUUAACGAGUUUUGUACCAAUACGGUACAAUCUUCAUCCAUAACACCUGUGAACUUUACAUUAACAUUUGCUUUGGCUGGACGUAAAAAACCUAGCCAAAGGAUUAAACAAAACCUUUUAUUUAAUAACCUAUUGUCUGAAUUGUAAUAAUUUUAAUUAUUCAAAACUUUCAACAACGGAUCUCUUGGUUCUC